Molecule: ribosomal RNA, 253 nt
Filed under: uncultured bacterium
Lineage: Bacteria
Description: partial 16S ribosomal RNA
Rfam family: Bacterial small subunit ribosomal RNA
Source: RNAcentral
CACGUAGGGCGCAAGCGUUGUCCGGAAUUAUUGGGCGUAAAGAGCUCGUAGGCGGUUUGUCGCGUCUGCUGUGAAAACCUAAGGCUCAACCUUGGGCUUGCAGUGGGUACGGGCAGACUAGAGUGCGGUAGGGGUGACUGGAAUUCCUGGUGUAGCGGUGGAAUGCGUAGAUAUCAGGAGGAACACCGGUGGUGUAGACGGCUCUCUGGACCGUAACUGACGCUGAGGCACGAAAGCGUGGGUAGCAAACAGG